GGCUAAUACCGCAUAAUGUCGCAAGACCAAAGUGGGGGACCUGAAAGGGCCUCACGCCGUCGGAUGAACCCAGAUGGGAUUAGCUGGUAGGUAGGGUAAUGGCCUACCUAGGCGACGAUCCCUAGCUGGUCUGAGAGGAUGACCAGCCACACUGGGACUGAGACACGGCCCAGACUCCUACGGGAGGCAGCAGUGGGGAAUAUUGCACAAUGGGCGCAAGCCUGAUGCAGCCAUGCCGCGUGUAUGAAGAAGGCCUUCGGGUUGUAAAGUACUUUCAGCGGGGAGGAAGGGUUGAGCCUGAACAGGGCUGGGCCUUGACGUUACCCGCAGAAGAAGCACCGGCUAACUCCGUGCCAGCAGCCGCGGUAAUACGGAGGGUGCGAGCGUUAAUCGGAAUGACUGGGCGUAAAGCGCACGCAGGCGGUCAAUUAAGUUAGAUGUGAAAUCCCCGGGCUCAACCUGGGAACGGCAUCUAAGACUGGUUGACUGGAGUCUCGUAGAGGGGGGUAGAAUUCCAUGUGUAGCGGUGAAAUGCGUAGAGAUGUGGAGGAAUACCGGUGGCGAAGGCGGCCCCCUGGACGAAGACUGACGCUCAGGUGCGAAAGCGUGGGGAGCAAACAGGAUUAGAUACCCUGGUAGUCCACGCUGUAAACGAUGUCGAUUUGGAGGUUGUGGCCUUGAGCUGUGGCUUCCGAAGCUAACGCGUUAAAUCGACCGCCUGGGGAGUACGGCCGCAAGGUUAAAACUCAAAUGAAUUGACGGGGGCCCGCACAAGCGGUGGAGCAUGUGGUUUAAUUCGAUGCAACGCGAAGAACCUUACCUACUCUUGACAUCCUCAGAAUUUGCUGGAGACGGCGAAGUGCCUUCGGGAACUGAGAGACAGGUGCUGCAUGGCUGUCGUCAGCUCGUGUUGUGAAAUGUUGGGUUAAGUCCCGCAACGAGCGCAACCCUUAUCCUUUGUUGCCAGCACGUCGAGGUGGGAACUCAAAGGAGACUGCCGGUGAUAAACCGGAGGAAGGUGGGGAUGACGUCAAGUCAUCAUGGCCCUUACGAGUAGGGCUACACACGUGCUACAAUGGCGGAUACAAAGUGAAGCGACCUCGCGAGAGCAAGCGGAACACACAAAGUCUGUCGUAGUCCGGAUUGGAGUCUGCAACUCGACUCCAUGAAGUCGGAAUCGCUAGUA
RNAcentral lists this ribosomal RNA (1186 nucleotides) under Photorhabdus luminescens. Its description in RNAcentral is "bacterial SSU rRNA". It matches the Rfam family "Bacterial small subunit ribosomal RNA", at positions 161 to 1340 of the family's 1533-position model. The record is from RNAcentral. Lineage: Bacteria; Pseudomonadati; Pseudomonadota; Gammaproteobacteria; Enterobacterales; Morganellaceae.